AGGGAAAAGCUCAAAUUUAAAAUCUGGCAGUCUCCGGCUGUCCGAGUUGUAAAUUAGAGAAGUGCUAUCCGCGUUGGACUGUGCAUAAGUCUCUUGGAAAAGGGCAUCAUAGAGGGUGACAAUCCCGUCUUUGGCACAGACUACCAAGGCUUUUGUGAUACGCUCUC
This 167-nucleotide ribosomal RNA is filed under the name Clavaria sp. RNAcentral's name for it is "partial large subunit ribosomal RNA". It matches the Rfam family "Eukaryotic large subunit ribosomal RNA", at positions 99 to 258 of the family's 3401-position model. The record is from RNAcentral. Lineage: Eukaryota; Fungi; Basidiomycota; Agaricomycetes; Agaricales; Clavariaceae.